ACAGUUUGAUCCUGGCUCAUACCGAACGCUGGCGGCAGGACUAACACAUGCAAGUCGAGCGCGCCCUUCCGGGUGAGCGGCGGACGGGUUAGUUACGCUGGGGAAUAUACCCGACACUAAGGAAUAGCCUCUGGAAACGGAGAGUAAUACCUUAUACGCCCUUCGGGGGAAAGAUUUAUCGGUGACGGAUUAGCCCGCGUUAGAUUAGAUAAUUGGUGGGGUAAUGGCCUACCAAGUCUACUAUCUAUAGCUGGUUUUAGAGGAUGAUCACCAACGCUGGGACUGAGACACGGCCCAGACUCCUACGGGAGGCACUUGUGGGGAAUCUUGGACAAUGGGCGCUUGCCUGAUCCAGCCAUGCCGCGUGAGUGAUGAAGGCCUUAUGGUCGUAAAGCUCUUUCGCCUGUGAUGAUAAUGACCGUAGCAGGUAAAGAAACCCCGGCUAACUACGUGCCAGCUGCCGCGGUAGUACGGAAGGGGUUAGCGUUGUUCGGAAUUACUGGGCGUAAAGCGCGCGUAGGCGGAUUAGUCAGGUAGAGGUGAAAUCCCAGGGCUCAACCCCGGAACUGCCUUUAAUACUGCUAGUCUUGAGUUCGAGAGAGGUGAGUGGAAUUCCGAGUGUCUAGGUGAAAUUCGUAGAUAUUCCGAGGAACACCAGUGGCGAAAGCGGGUCAGUGGAUCGAUACUGACGCUCAGGUGCGAAAGUGUCUAGAGCAGACACGAUUAGAUACUCCGGUAGUCCAUAUCGUACAUGAUCAAUGCCAGUCGUCCGCUAGCAUGCUUGUCGGUGAGGUGCUAACGGAUUAUGCAUUCCGCCUGCCUAGACCGUCGCAUGAUAAUCACUUCUCGGAAUCGACAGGCGCCGCUCUUGCGGUGGAGUAUGUGGUUGAUUCUAGGAUCGCGCAGAAACUGACUAACCUUGAAAUCUCGGACACCCCAG
Molecule: ribosomal RNA, 940 nt
Filed under: uncultured bacterium
Lineage: Bacteria
Description: bacterial SSU rRNA
Rfam family: Bacterial small subunit ribosomal RNA
Source: RNAcentral